GCACUGCUGACGAGUCCCAAACAGGAUGAAACAGCUGUUCAGUGA
Molecule: non-coding RNA, 45 nt
Organism: Echinostoma caproni
Lineage: Eukaryota; Metazoa; Platyhelminthes; Trematoda; Plagiorchiida; Echinostomatidae
Source: Rfam